Molecule: ribosomal RNA, 500 nt
Filed under: uncultured bacterium
Lineage: Bacteria
Description: partial 16S ribosomal RNA
Rfam family: Bacterial small subunit ribosomal RNA
Source: RNAcentral
AUUGAACGCUGGCGGCAGGCCUAACACAUGCAAGUCGAGCGGAUGAAGGGAGCUUGCUCCCUGAUUCAGCGGCGGACGGGUGAGUAAUGCCUAGGAAUCUGCCUGGUAGUGGGGGACAACGUUUCGAAAGGAACGCUAAUACCGCAUACGUCCUACGGGAGAAAGCAGGGGACCUUCGGGCCUUGCGCUAUCAGAUGAGCCUAGGUCGGAUUAGCUAGUUGGUGAGGUAAUGGCUCCCCAAGGCGACGAUCCGUAACUGGUCUGAGAGGAUGAUCAGUCACACUGGAACUGAGACACGGUCCAGACUCUUACGGGAGGCAGCAGUGGGGAAUAUUGGACAAUGGGCGAAAGCCUGAUCCAGCCAUGCCGCGUGUGUGAAGAAGGUCUUCGGAUUGUAAAGCACUUUAAGUUGGGAGGAAGGGUUGCUGAUUAAUACUCUGCAAUUUUGACGUUACCGACAGAAUAAGCACCGGCUAACUCUGUGCCAGCCGCCGCGGUAA